Molecule: long non-coding RNA, 1852 nt
Filed under: Portunus trituberculatus (swimming crab)
Lineage: Eukaryota; Metazoa; Arthropoda; Malacostraca; Decapoda; Portunidae
Description: uncharacterized LOC123507201, transcript variant X3
Source: RNAcentral
GUUACUUUUCACUGAACACGUACUGCUCGGACUGCGAGUGUUUUUUUUUUUUUUUUUUCUAAGUUCUAUCAUCGCUACACCGGAAAACGCAAGAGUUCGACUGUGUGUGCAUCACGAGUUGGUUUUGCUUCCCAAAUUUCUUGUCUGGCAAGAGGGAAGCACAGAAGAGGAAGGGGAAGAUGAUGAAACGUGAAGAAUCGCAAGAGGAGGAAGAGGGCGAUGAGCCGAAGACGAGGACGAGGAGUCGUGAAGAGUCGCAAGAGGAAUAAGAGCUGCUGCUAAUGGACAGUCUUGUGCAGAGGGGAAGCACAGCGAAGAGGAAGAUGAAGAGCAUUAAAAGUUAAGUGUCGCAAGAGGAGGAAGUGGACGACGACGAGGAGGGCGAGGAAAAGUGAAGGGUCGCAAGAGAGAGAAGAGGGCAAGGAGUAGUGAUGAGUCGGAAGAGGAAGAGGAGCUGAUGAGCGGGUGUGUGUGAUUUCCUAUGUGGUAUUUACAAUUUAGUAAGUGGUUGCAUUGCGAGUUGUCCAGCCUCGGUCAGCGCGUGUAGUCACUGGCCUAGGAGGGAAAGGGAGACGUGGGGCCCGACCGGCCGACUGUGUGCUGCAGCUGCUGCCUGCUAGCGCCGCCGCCGCCGCUGUCAGAGUGAGCAGACGUCAAGUAGGAAGGUGUGGCGUUUGAAAAGCAUCCGUGUACAGUUGCCUUAUUUAACCUGUGGACUUUUAACAACAAGACAGUGACACGAGCCAUGAUUGCCUUUUGUGUGCUGGUGUAGGCUUUGGUGCUUGCCGGAAGUCUUGCAGCGGCUUAUGAAGGCCAGGAAGACUCAUAUUUAAUGGUAAGUGACCCAGCAAAACCUGUCGGCGUACUGAUGAGACAUGUUGUUCAGGUCCUUCAAUGGAAACUUUUUGAGUUUAUUUUGCCGUCUCCCUGCUUCAUCCUAUGGUUGUCCAAGUAAGGUCUCAGAGCCAUAGCCAAGUCAAAGGGUGGUAAGGAUAAAAAAGAAAAAAUAAAUUAUCAACAGGCUUCCCUCAUGGAGGCCUUAAAUGUAGAUAACCCAGACCUGCUUAGCGCUUCUAAUUCUCACCAAGCUACUGGUCCUACACUAGUUUCCCGUAACUUAGAUAAAGUUGAUAAAGUGCUACCUGAGGAUUAACUAUAUAGAAUGAGAGGGAGGAAAAGGUUAAGAUGAUUUAGUCCCAUGUGAGCGAAUUAGCAUAUAUUAAAUACCUGGUGUACUACUACUUGUCUUCAGAAAAUCGUUAGUAAAGACGUGUCAUUUUGAUGCAGAGUUGGUUUGCUAGCCAGCAAGCCAACAUCGUGUCUGCAAAGCUAGUUAGUGUUCGUCACCUUGCCUCGCCUCGCCGCAGGGCCUGACGGCAACAAAUGUCAAGUGGUGGAUGUGUUGCUCCUACCUGAUGUGUCUUGUAAGCCACAUGAACAGCCACCCAUCUUCAAUUGUAAUAAUGUAUUGCAGUGCUCUAUAUUAAGAUUUGUAUGUAUUCCUCAAUAAAUCAAUGUAUGACUAUAUUGAUGUGAAAUACAUAUGUAGUUUGUAAUUUGUUUUAGCAAUGUUUAUGGUUGUCUGUGAUAUGAGUUAAUAUUUGGUCAACAAAGCAUACAAGUUGUCUUUCAUACAUAUAAAAGUUUAAGGCGAGUUUUGCACAGAGGCCCCGUCCACCCUUUAACGGGAGAGGGUGAGGAGUAAAGUGAUGACCUCCCUGCUUGGGGAGGGACGGAUUCCCCUAUGUGCAAAACUCGCCUUAAACUUCGUAUAUUUUUUGGGGGGUUGGUCUAUUAUAGGAUAAGGAACUACCAGAAAACUUAUUUAUUCACAUAAUAAAUGUUCCAUUGA